GGGCGUGAAACCGGGGGGACCACCCUCCAAGGCUAAAGACUCCCGUGUGACCGAUAGUGAACGAGUACCGUGAGGGAAAGGUGAAAAGUACCCCAGUGCGGGGAGUGAAAGAGUUUCUGAAACCACAUACUUACAAGCGGUAGGAGGCUGGGCUGGUCUUCGGAUCAGUCGCGGCUGACUGCGUGCCUUUUGCAUUAUGAUCCGGCGAGUUACUCCUCAGAAGCGUAGGCUAAGCGGCUAAGCUGCGGAGCCACAGCGAAAGCGAGUCCUGUAACGAGGGCGACUUAGUUUCUGGGGGUAGACCCGAAGCCAGGGCGAUCUACCCAUGUGCAGAGUGAAGCGCGGGUAACACCGCGUGGAGGCUCGAACCAGUACGGGUUGAAAACCGUUUGGAUGACGUGUGGGUAGGGGUGAAAGGCCAAUCAAGCCUGGAGAUAGCUGGUUCUCCCCGAAAUCUAUUGAGGUAGAGCCUCAGGAAGUGUUUGCAGGAGGUAGAGCGACUGGAUGGGCGCGGGGGGUCGAAGACCCUACCAACCCCAACCAAACUCCGAAUGCCUGUUAAAUGAAUCCUGGGAGGCAGUCGUUGAGCGAUAAUGUCCAACGGCGAGAGGGAAAGAACCCAGAACCACAGCUAAGGCCCCAAAGUGGCCGCUAAGUAUAGCGAAGGAUGUGAACGUGCCGUGACAACUGGGAGGUUGGCUUAGAAGCAGCCAUUCCUUGAAAGAGUGCGUAAUAGCUCACCAGUCCAGCGUGUUCGCGCCGAGAAUGGUCGGGAUUAAGCGGCCCGCCGAAGCUUGGUCUUCAUACUUAUGUAUGAGGGGUAGGGGAGCGUUC
RNAcentral lists this non-coding RNA (834 nucleotides) under Bacteroidetes bacterium 13_1_20CM_4_60_6. Its description in RNAcentral is "bacterial LSU rRNA". It matches the Rfam family "Bacterial large subunit ribosomal RNA", at positions 434 to 1241 of the family's 2925-position model. The record is from RNAcentral. Lineage: Bacteria; Pseudomonadati; Bacteroidota.